Molecule: ribosomal RNA, 674 nt
Filed under: uncultured bacterium
Lineage: Bacteria
Description: bacterial SSU rRNA
Rfam family: Bacterial small subunit ribosomal RNA
Source: RNAcentral
CCUUACGGGCGGUGAGUGCAACUGACGCUGAGGCUCGAAAGUGUGGGUAUCAAACAGGAUUAGAUACCCUGGUAGUCCACACAGUAAACGAUGAAUCCUCGCGGUUGGUUCGUUAGAUUCAGCCGCCAAGCGAAAGCGUUAAGUAUUCCACCUGGGGAGUACGCCGGCAACGGUGAAACUCAAAGGAAUUGACGGGGGCCCGCACAAGCGGAGGAACAUGUGGUUUAAUUCGAUGAUACGCGAGGAACCUUACCCGGGCUUGAACUGCCAGUGACUCAUGCAGAGACGCAUGUUUCUUCGGACACUGGCGGAGGUGCUGCAUGGUUGUCGUCAGCUCGUGCCGUGAGGUGUCGGCUUAAGUGCCAUAACGAGCGCAACCCUUCUCCCUGUUUGCCAUCGGGUCAUGCCGGGCACUCCAGGGACACUGCCAUCGUAAGAUGUGAGGAAGGUGGGGAUGACGUCAAAUCAGCACGGCCCUUACGUCCGGGGCUACACACGUGUUACAAUGGGCGGUACAGAAAGCAGCUACCCCGCGAGGGGAUGCCAAUCUCAAAAACCGUUCUCAGUUCGGACUGGAGUCUGCAACCCGACUCCACGAAGCUGGAUUCGCUAGUAAUCGCGCAUCAGCCAUGGCGCGGUGAAUACGUUCCCGGGCCUUGCACACACCGCCCGUA